Long non-coding RNA from Melanotaenia boesemani (Boeseman's rainbowfish), 476 nucleotides. RefSeq lists it as uncharacterized. Lineage: Eukaryota; Metazoa; Chordata; Actinopteri; Atheriniformes; Melanotaeniidae. The transcript is spliced from 3 exons. The record is from RefSeq and is a predicted model, not a curated record.
GCCAGCCGGUGAGGAAGCAGAAUGUCUGAGCUAUUUGUUGUGUUUCUCAUGUAUUCACAGUGCAACUCCUUUGCUUUUGUCAUCCCUGCCUUGCAGGUCCCUGCGUCCAGCGAUGGGGCAGCAGAGCUCGUUGCACUCGCUGUUCCUUUUUCCUAUGCAUAUACUUCUUUGAGAUAUAACUUUAAAGAGGCAUAAGGCAUGGGAAAAUGGGGCUGCAGAGGUAUUCCACCGAACAGACAGACGUGUCAUCAUGCAAGUAAUAGCUGACCUCAAAGUGAACACACACACACACACACACAAAAUGGCUUGACUUGCACUAAAAGAGGAAAACUGAUUUUCAGUCUGUAAAUUGUUUUUACGCCAGAUCAGGAUUUUAAACUCAUUGUAUUUCUUUGUCAUGACAUGAUGUGAAUGUGGAUCUGUUUCUCUGUGAUAUUUUGGUCUUUUUUUCCUAAAUAAAGACGUUGUUGCUUAAA